Lytechinus pictus (painted urchin) is the source of this 2006-nucleotide long non-coding RNA. RefSeq lists it as uncharacterized. NCBI's taxonomy places the organism in Eukaryota, Metazoa, Echinodermata, Echinoidea, Temnopleuroida, Toxopneustidae. The record is from RefSeq and is a predicted model, not a curated record. The transcript is spliced from 2 exons.
AAAAUUUCUUACGGGCAGAUUGCACAAGAGAUUCUUUGCAAGGGCAGUCUAUUUGUGUCGUUGAUAUGUAAUGAUGUGCCGUAUGAGUCACAUUUUUAAUAUCCAUCACAUAUAAAUAUAAAAAGAUAUACAUGUAAGCCUAAAUUUCCCCUAAAAUAAUACAUCUAUUUUUUAGAUUCAAUAUGUAGGUCUACUAUGCCGGGGGGGGGGGGGAGGUACUUAGAUUUGGUUUGGACAAAGGUGUGCGGCUGAAGGUUUGAAACCCGUACCCAUAUUUACAGGUCAUUUUGGCUAAAAAGGGGCCCAUUAUUGGGGAUUCAUUACAGGGGCGGAUCCAGGAUUUCCAAAAGGGGGGGGGGCACAUUUUCGCCUGGAAAACUUGACAAGUAAAAAAAAAAGAAAAAGGUUAAUGCCCAAAAUGUAAGAUAAUUUUGUAUUUGCACCUAAGACAUUGGAGUAGAAUGUGGACCCAUGUUUAAGGCCAGUAUCUAAAAAUUGGGCCAUGUUUAGGGAUUUUCCAGCAUAAAUCCAUACCCCAUGUUUAGGGAUUUCUUCCAAAAAGGCGACCCAUUCCAGCGGCACAUCCCCAUAUGCAUUAUUUCGUGAGUAACCCCCACCCCCCGGGCUACUAUGUAACUGACUCUAGUCUUAACUUGAUUUUUAUGCAAGCACAUGAGAUGCUAUAUAGAUGACAGAUUUUUUUUUUUCUCUUUAAAUUAUUUAAUGGAUGAUUACAAUGCUUUUCCAGGUGCUUACAGUAAAAGGGUGUCUCAUUUGGUGCACCAUUAGGUGCAUCAUUAUUAAUAUUGAAUGCAUAAUCAUAAUUUUUUUUACAUCCUUUUACAUCAAGUACAAUACUCGGGGGGGGGGGGGGCAUAUGGUCCCCCUUGACAUUUUUCAGAAUAAAUCUGCCACUCAAAAUUGUAUUACCGCACCAUUGACUGACGUUUUACUUUCAAGUCUCACGCAACUUUUGAGACCAAAUUUGCAAUUCCCAGGUACAGGGUCAGGAAAUUUUGCAACAUUGUGUUUGUUUAAGUACAUGUCAGACAAAAACAUGAUUACAUGUAAAAAGUCAAUAUUCAUAAUUGGGUAAUUUUUUUAUUGACAAUAGUUAUUCAAUGUCACUGAUGAACUAUGUGUUGAAAAUAACAAUUAAAAGAAAUACAUUUAAGAAGUUAAGAAAAAAUAUUAAAAAAAAAACAUGAAAGGAAUUCAUUUUUAUACCAGAUUUUUAAAAGUAAAGUUGUUAGGAAUGCUCUAGAAAGGAAUAUCUACACCAAAGUUUAGCAUUCUAUUACGAGCUUUUUUUAGUAAAUUAAAGCGAAAGGUAUGAUUUCAUAAAUUUUUUAAUUGCACCGCCCAUGGAUGAGGAACCAUAGUGCCCCUCCCCAGGCCAGAAGCGACUUUAAUCAAAACACCCUGGGACUACUAUAAUGAUUAACACCCUGGCAACUGAGCUUAACUUGUAUAUUAAUUUCAUGAACAUGUUUUAUCUCUUUGCUUUUUGCUUUUAAUUGCUUACUACAGUUAUGAUGCCAAAGAAGUCUGGAAUAAACAAGAAACCUCCGAACCACCAUAACUGUGUCUGCUACAAUGUGUGUUCUUGCAACCAGCUGAUUGAUUCAUUUUGUCAACUCUCAAAUGGUUGAUUAUCAGAACUGAAUUCAGAGCUGCUCCUGUCUGUAGUAACAUCUUAUUAGAGUGGACUUCAGAAUGAGGGUGUUGCUGGUUUAAAAACUUCACUCCAUGGAGCUCUCCAAAGUCAUCUCAAAUUAGACUGCUUCUGGAAACCAAAUUUGUUCCUUCAAGCAGAGAAGCUUGUGGCUUUCCUGACUGGACUUCUAUGGAUUCUUCUUGCCAACAUUAAGGACUGUGGGCUGACAUUCAGUGGUAAAACACUUGAUGAAGAUGAUAUGAAUUUUUAUUUGAUAUAAAUGAAUCUCAGAAGUAAUUCCUCAGGAGUAAGAAACAAUGAAAAUUAAAAAUAAAAGGUCCAUCAAUAA